UACGAAGGGGGCUAGCGUUGCUCGGAAUUACUGGGCGUAAAGGGCGCGUAGGCGGCUCUGUUAGUCAGUCGUGAAAGUCCUGGGCUCAACCUGGGAACUGCGCUUGAUACGGCAGAGCUAGAGGAUGGAAGAGGGUCGCGGAAUUCCCAGUGUAGAGGUGAAAUUCGUAGAUAUUGGGAAGAACACCGGUGGCGAAGGCGGCGACCUGGUCCAUUACUGACGCUGAGGCGCGAAAGCGUGGGGAGCAAACAGG
RNAcentral lists this ribosomal RNA (253 nucleotides) under uncultured bacterium. Its description in RNAcentral is "partial 16S ribosomal RNA". It matches the Rfam family "Bacterial small subunit ribosomal RNA", at positions 524 to 776 of the family's 1533-position model. The record is from RNAcentral.